CAGCCGCCGCGGUAAUACGAAGGGUGCAAGCGUUAAUCGGAAUUACUGGGCGUAAAGCGUGCGUAGGCGGUGAGUUAAGUCUGCUGUGAAAUCCCCGGGCUCAACCUGGGAAUGGCAAUGGAUACUGGCAAGCUAGAGUGUGUCAGAGGAUGGUGGAAUUCCCGGUGUAGCGGUGAAAUGCGUAGAGAUCGGGAGGAACAUCAGUGGCGAAGGCGGCCAUCUGGGACAACACUGACGCUGAGGCACGAAAGCGUGGGGAGCAAACAGGAUUAGAUACCCGGGUAGUCCCUGUCUCUUAUAA
RNAcentral lists this ribosomal RNA (301 nucleotides) under uncultured bacterium. Its description in RNAcentral is "partial 16S ribosomal RNA". It matches the Rfam family "Bacterial small subunit ribosomal RNA", at positions 509 to 809 of the family's 1533-position model. The record is from RNAcentral.